GCCGAGGAAAACAGUGUCCAAACAGUAUAAAGUCAAGGUCCAGAAAGAUUAAAGAUCACUGUAAAUUUGAGGACGUUUAAUACGGGUACCAAAACGCCGGAACAUGCAGAGAGAAAAACCCUAAUUUGGAGAAGGGGUGGAUUGAUUCUCCAUAAGUUUCUUGUCCCUUCUCUCCAUUGCAACGUCCCACAUAUCGUUACAGACGUGCUUCGGCCGACCAUGAGCGGCUUUGUGGAUGUAAUACUGCGCAUUACCCAUCCCACAGAGCCUUCCUGCUAUGAUUCCGAGUGGUAGAGCUGCUUCUAACCAUCUCCAC
RNAcentral lists this unclassified non-coding RNA (316 nucleotides) under Hevea brasiliensis (rubber tree). Lineage: Eukaryota; Viridiplantae; Streptophyta; Magnoliopsida; Malpighiales; Euphorbiaceae. The record is from RNAcentral.